CUGCAUCGUCCUCCUCCGAUGGCUCUCUCCCCCUCCUCUCCGCCCCCAGUCCUCCGCCGGUUGCCACACGCCGGAGGAAGCCAUGAUCCAUGACCAGCAGCAUGACCAUUCGAUUGGAGGAUCCCAGGGGCUACAAGAACAGUUCUGUAGAAUACAUGGCCCAAAUCUGACUGUUCGAGCAGGAAAUGCACAUCCUGGAUGUGACAUAAUUAACAUCUGAUGGAUAUCCUAAAAUCUCUUGAGCUGGAGUUUAUCUAUCUCAUCUGAAAGACUUCAAGCCCAUGUACAGUCCUCUCGGUCCCUUCAGAAGUACCAUAUAACUACAGUGUAUGUUAUGCUGAUCAGAGUGGGGCAGGGGCAUUUAGAACAUACAUAAGCAAAUUAUUGUCAGAGAUGACCCCUCCAAGACUGAUUUAUUUAAAGUGUAAAAAUUAUUUAGAACAAAUAAUUCUUCACACAAGAAUGAGCCCUGCCGGUGGCUAUUUGUCGACCUGUAUGAAAUAAUUGUUCUAUAGGGCAAGGAUUAGUUUUCUACUUCGGGACAAGCUAUCUUCGAAGAUGGCUCCAAGGUCAUCUGACCUCUUCCAUUUGAAGCCGGUCAUCUGGGCACUGGAGAGACAAUGGCAUCAAAUAUGAGCCCAGAAGAACCAUCAACCUCGAGUACCAAGUCCUUUGCUGUGUAAUAGUGGUUGCAAAAAAUCACCGCAUUUAGUUCUCAUAACCCAGUCAUUUGAGCACCAGAGACAUGGUGGAAUGAAAUAUUGGCUUGCAUGAUUCCAGGUUCCAAGCAUCUGAACAGAAUCAGAAACUUUGAAGUGGACUAACACACACAUGACAAUCAGUUUCCAGGUGAAGAAGAAGCAGUUAUUCCGGAAUUUCAUGACUAUCACAUUAUUUGGUGCUUUUGGGACAAUGAUAUCCUUCUUCACGAUAUGUUACGGUUGAUCAAAACAAUUUCUUUAGAAGUUCCCACCAGGUAGUAUAAGAUGUUGUUAUGCCAGAGGUACCCCUGCAGCUCUAAUUAACAUAACUAGAGUUGGAAACUUUCUUUAGUCACUGGCCGUUUGGAGUCCUGGCUGUAAGAACUCCAACCUGUUUGUUUUUGCAAGUCCUAUUUAUCUACGCAUACAAGAUGUUCAACAGAAAUCCAAGCAGAAUGUUCUCAUAUAUAGGUGACACUUCUGACUUCUCAUUUGCAAAAAUAUCUUGCUCUUUAUCUGAAUGGAUGGCCUUUGGCCACUUUAUCUUCGAUCGGUUUUUAUUAUCAUUGCUCAACAUUUCACGUGCCUUCUCCUAUUAGUGGUGGUGAACCAAAGAAACCAUUUAGAACUACAUAGGAGUAAAAAAAAGGAGAGGAGUGUAAAUAGUUAGGAUCGAGGCCUGAUUAUAUUGAGAUGUUAAUAAUUAAUCUUUCAGCCCGCACAACGAAGACUAAAAUGUCA
Long non-coding RNA from Lolium rigidum, 1442 nucleotides. RefSeq lists it as uncharacterized. NCBI's taxonomy places the organism in Eukaryota, Viridiplantae, Streptophyta, Magnoliopsida, Poales, Poaceae. The transcript has 10 exons. The record is from RefSeq and is a predicted model, not a curated record.